Molecule: ribosomal RNA, 254 nt
Filed under: uncultured bacterium
Lineage: Bacteria
Description: partial 16S ribosomal RNA
Rfam family: Bacterial small subunit ribosomal RNA
Source: RNAcentral
UACAGAGGUCCCAAGCGUUGUUCGGAUUCACUGGGCGUAAAGGGUGCGUAGGUGGUCGGGUAAGUCUGAUGUGAAAUCUCGGAGCUCAACUCCGAAACGGCAUUGGAUACUAUUCGGCUUGAGGGUUGGAGGGGGGGACUGGAAUUCUCGGUGUAGCAGUGAAAUGCGUAGAUAUCGGGAGGAACACCAGUGGCGAAGGCGACUACCUGGCCUGUUCUUGACGCUGAGGCGCGAAAGCUAGGGGAGCAAACGGG